This 253-nucleotide ribosomal RNA is filed under the name uncultured bacterium. Its description in RNAcentral is "partial 16S ribosomal RNA". It matches the Rfam family "Bacterial small subunit ribosomal RNA", at positions 524 to 776 of the family's 1533-position model. The record is from RNAcentral.
UACGGGGGGGGCAAGCGUUGUUCGGAAUUACUGGGCGUAAAGGGCUCGUAGGCGGCCAACUAAGUCAAACGUGAAAUCCCUCGGCUUAACCGGGGAACUGCGCUUGAUACUGGAUGGCUUGAGAUUGGGAGAGGGAUGCGGAAUUCCAGGUGUAGCGGUGAAAUGCGUAGAUAUCUGGAGGAACACCGGUGGCGAAGGCGGCAUCCUGGACCGGCAUUGACGCUGAGGAGCGAAAGCCAGGGGAGCAAACGGG